AGGUCAUUUUGAGGGAAAUUUAUUAGUAACCGUUUAUAAUGCUCCCAUGCCUCAUAAAGUGACUCACGUAGUUGUUGCUCAAAGUUGGCUAUUGCCUUCGUGAAUUU
Molecule: small nucleolar RNA, 107 nt
Organism: Lactuca sativa (garden lettuce)
Lineage: Eukaryota; Viridiplantae; Streptophyta; Magnoliopsida; Asterales; Asteraceae
Source: RefSeq, a predicted model, not a curated record